Sturnus vulgaris (Common starling) is the source of this 1655-nucleotide non-coding RNA. Lineage: Eukaryota; Metazoa; Chordata; Aves; Passeriformes; Sturnidae. The record is from RefSeq and is a predicted model, not a curated record.
UUGUUCAAAUGGUACAGAGAAUUAAAAAAAUGCUGUGCAGGAGGGUCUGAACCCUAAUCUACUGGUAUCAUUUUAUGGCUUCAGACAAAUCUUCAUAACUAGCUAUAUGAAAUGAAAAUGAUGAAGCUUUAUUUUUAAGAUGUACUGGGGAAGAAUUUAAUAUUUAGAAUAAACUUACAUGUUUAAAAAAGAUGAUCACAAGUAAGCUAUGCCUAAGUGUUUAAUUUCAAACCUUGAGGAUUCAGGUAGUCAAGUGAUUGCUCUAUUACAUUUUAACUGUUCUAAAUCAUGGGUACUGAUUUCAUUAGUCUGUAUUUAAAGUAUAGAAUUACAAAAUCCUACAUAAAGCAAGAUAAGGUUUGGGUGACUCAUCCAAUCACAAGAAUUUUCUUGUACUUUUCUUCAAGAGGAAAUGAAGAGGAGGUCACAUACAGGCAUGAAAGUAGGCUUGAGCAACUAUGAAAAAAGAAAAGUUAAGCUUUAGCAAAUAUUCUUAUUUUUUUUAAUCUCAAAGCACACAAUAUUGACUGUUACUGUCACCAAAUAAAUAAAUAACUGGAAGAAAAAAUGCCUUCACACGUUCUUGCAAAUGCUAUUUAAAGUUUAACUAAAAUCUUGAUUACUGUUUAAAGGCUGAAGCACUUCAUUGUUCUUUGUCCAUGUCACUGGUGUUACAUGUAGACGUCCAAAGUCUAUAGCUUAAUUGUUGAUUAAAUAUCAAACAUAAUUGUCUUAACAGCAUAGAUUUACCCUAGUAUGGUAUUAUAUAGAGGGAAGGAUCUUCAGGUGUUCUUUGGGAGUUAUUUUUAUUGAAUGAGCUCUGAAUUUGGAAAUCUGCUUGUGUUUUUUGCUACUGUACAACUUGAUUGACCCUCUUUAUUUUUCUUUUAUUUGAAAUAAAGAGUGCUGCAUUGAUAAAUUCACAGUACUGUGUAUGUGCGUACUUUCAAAGAUAUUGUACUCUAGAAACAAUAAUAGCAUGGGUUUUGGGGUAUACAAACAUUUGGAUUGCCUAUGCUAUGAAAAUAUUCUCUUUCAUACAGAAAAUAGUUUUAAACUGGUUUUCCUUGUGGUUUCUGAAACUAGUUUGUUCUAGUCUCUGUUUUCAGUUUACUGCUGAUUAUGUUAAGUGCAAGAUUAGGGAGGAAAGCCUUGUCAUUUAUUGCAUGUUUAGGACACAGAUUUUUAUUUGUAAAUUACUUUUAGCACCGUCUGCUAUCUAGGGAAGGCUAUAUUAUAUUAUGAUAGGCUUCUAAAAUGUACAGCUAAAGUAAUUGAAAACAAGCUGCAGUAAAUAGAUAAAAGAUCUUAUGGGGUUACUUAAUAUUGGUUGCACCACUUUUUGCACAAUUUUAUGCUUGAUUUCUGAAUUAGGAUUUUUUUUUUGUGGAAUUUUAAACUUUUGUGAUAAAAUAACCACGAAGUCUCUCAAUUUAGAAAUAGAAUUAUUCCUUCUAAUAGUUUAGGAAAAUGGAGAAGAGCAGGAAAUAAUACCACAUUGGAAGGUUUUGGUUUAGUGAGUAAUGAAGACCUUUCCAAUGCCAGGGGUAUGCAUGCAUGUUCUGUUUCCUUUAGGGAACAUCUUGGGACCUCCUCCUCCAACAGUAAAAAUUAGCCCACUUAGGCAUUAAGACUUAGUUUUUAUUUCUUAGCCU